RNAcentral lists this ribosomal RNA (248 nucleotides) under uncultured bacterium. RNAcentral's name for it is "partial 16S ribosomal RNA". It matches the Rfam family "Bacterial small subunit ribosomal RNA", at positions 110 to 353 of the family's 1533-position model. The record is from RNAcentral.
GUAACGCGUGAGUAACCUGCCUUUCANAGGGGGAGUAACGUUCUGAAAAGAACGCUAAUACCGCAUGAGACUACAGAGCUGCAUGGCUCAGUGGUCAAAGGAGCAAUCCGCUGAAAGAUGGACUCGCGUCCGAUUAGAUAGUAGGCGGGGUAACGGCCCACCUAGUCGACGAUCGGUAGCCGGACUGAGAGGUUGAACGGCCACAUUGGGACUGAGACACGGCCCAGACUCCUACGGGAGGCAGCAUG